CAGUCGCCGCGGUAAUACGGAGGGAGCUAGCGUUGUUCGGAAUUACUGGGCGUAAAGCGCACGUAGGCGGUUAUUCAAGUCAGAGGUGAAAGCCCGGGGCUCAACCCCGGAACUGCCUUUGAAACUAGAUGACUGAAAUCUUGGAGAGGUCAGUGGAAUUCCGAGUGUAGAGGUGAAAUUCGUAGAUAUUCGGAAGAACACCAGUGGCGAAGGCGACUGACUGGACAAGUAUUGACGCUGAGGUGCGAAAGCGUGGGGAGCAAACAGGAUUAGAUACCCCUGUAGUCCCUGUCUCUUAUAC
Molecule: ribosomal RNA, 301 nt
Filed under: uncultured bacterium
Lineage: Bacteria
Description: partial 16S ribosomal RNA
Rfam family: Bacterial small subunit ribosomal RNA
Source: RNAcentral